Kwoniella botswanensis is the source of this 98-nucleotide non-coding RNA. The record is from the annotation of a RefSeq genome assembly. Lineage: Eukaryota; Fungi; Basidiomycota; Tremellomycetes; Tremellales; Cryptococcaceae.
ACACUAAUGGUGUAAUGGUAACAUAACCGCCUUCCACUGGCCAACGAACGCGUUGAAACAGUUAGCAGUUGCCUAGGGUUCGAUUCCCUAUUAGUGUA